RNAcentral lists this ribosomal RNA (433 nucleotides) under uncultured bacterium. RNAcentral describes it as "partial 16S ribosomal RNA". It matches the Rfam family "Bacterial small subunit ribosomal RNA", at positions 29 to 507 of the family's 1533-position model. The record is from RNAcentral.
AACGAACGCUGGCGGCAUGCCUAACACAUGCAAGUCGAACGAUGCCUUCGGGCAUAGUGGCGCACGGGUGCGUAACGCGUGGGAAUCUGCCUUUCGGUUCGGAAUAACUCAGGGAAACUUGAGCUAAUACCGGAUAACGUCGCAAGGCCAAAGAUUUAUCACCGAAAGAUGAGCCCGCGUAGGAUUAGCUAGUUGGUGAGGUAAAGGCUCACCAAGGCGACGAUCCUUAGCUGGUCUGAGAGGAUGAUCAGCCACACUGGGACUGAGACACGGCCCAGACUCCUACGGGAGGCAGCAGUGGGGAAUAUUGGACAAUGGGCGAAAGCCUGAUCCAGCAAUGCCGCGUGAGUGAUGAAGGCCUUAGGGUUGUAAAGCUCUUUUACCCGGGAAGAUAAUGACGGUACCGGGAGAAUAAGCCCCGGCUAACUCCGUG